GCCUGGCGUGGUGGCNCAUGCCUUUAAUUCCAGCACUCGGGAGGCAGAGGCAGGCAGAUUUCUGAGUUAGAGGCCAGCCUGGUCUACAAAGUGAGUUCCAGGACAGCCAGGGCUAUACAGAGAAACCCUGUCUCAAAAACCAAAACCAAAACCAAAAAAAGACACGGUUUCCUUAUGUAGCUUUUGCCGUCUUGGAACUCACUCUGUAGUAGAUCAGGCUGGCCUCAAACUCAUAGAUAACUGCCUGCCUCU
Molecule: small RNA, 252 nt
Filed under: Mus caroli (Ryukyu mouse)
Lineage: Eukaryota; Metazoa; Chordata; Mammalia; Rodentia; Muridae
Description: sRNA (MGP_CAROLIEiJ_G0008830.1)
Source: RNAcentral